UGCAGCCAUGUCAAAUUCGGUGCCUGCCCCAUCCAUGGCAGACACUGGCCCAAAAGGCUGCCAUAGAAACACUGUGACUCAUGGGCCCUGAUCCCCUUUGCUGGGCCCUCAGGGAUAAAUUUGGUUACAGACACCA
This 136-nucleotide small nucleolar RNA is filed under the name Myotis brandtii (Brandt's bat). RNAcentral describes it as "Small nucleolar RNA SNORA5". It matches the Rfam family "Small nucleolar RNA SNORA5". Rfam says of the family: ACA5 is a member of the H/ACA class of snoRNA that guide the sites of modification of uridines to pseudouridines. Lineage: Eukaryota; Metazoa; Chordata; Mammalia; Chiroptera; Vespertilionidae. The record is from Rfam by way of RNAcentral.